AUGGAAGCAAAUAAGCCUCGGCAGCAGCAGGAGGAGGAGGAGCACAAGGCCAUGAGCAAGGAGCAGACGGCGAUGAAGGCCGUCUCCGAGGAGGCCGGGUCGUCGUCCUCGGACGCCGGCGACGGCGAGGAGGAGGCGGGCGCCGUCCACAACCACCGCGGAUGGAAGGCCAUGCCGUACGUCAUAGGGAACGAGACGUUCGAGAAGCUCGGGACGAUCGGCACGCUGUCGAACAUGCUGGUGUACCUGACGACGGUGUACCACAUGCCGAGCGUCAACGCCGCCACCCUCCUCAACGUAUUCUCCGGCACCAGCAACCUCGCCACCGUCCUGGGCGCCUACGUCAGCGACACCUACCUCGGCCGCUACACCACCAUCGCCGCCGCCACCAUGUCCUCCUUCGUCGGCAUGCUCAUCCUCACGCUCACGGCCGCCAUCCACACCCUCCACCCUCCCGCGUGCAGCGCGUCCAAGGGGCAACAGUGUGAGGGCCCCACUGGGUCCCAGCUCGCCGCCAUCCUGGUGUCCUUCUUCUUCCUGGUCGUCGGUGCGGGAGGCAUCCGGCCAUGCAACCUCGCCUUCGGGGCCGACCAGUUCAACCCGCGCACCGCCGACGGUCGUCGCGGCAUCGCCAGCUUCUUCAACUGGUACUACUUCACCUUCACGGUCGCCAUGAUGCUCUCGGCAACCGUCAUCAUCUACCUCCAGAGCAACGUUAAUUGGGCGCUAGGGCUCGCCGUGCCCGCCGCGCUCAUGGGCCUCUCAUGCGCCGUCUUCUUCAUGGGCACGCGCCUCUACGUCCGUGUACGCCCCGAGGGCAGCCCCUUCACAAGCUUCGCCCAAGUCCUCGUCGCCGCAGCCCGCAAGCGCCACCUCCGUCGGGCUCGCGGCGACGCCGAGCUGUUUGACCCACCGCACCAGAGUAAGCUCGUCUCCAAGCUGGCAUACACCGACCAGUUCGCGUGCCUCGAUAAAGCGGCCGUGCGGACCCCCGACGACGCGUUGUGCGUCGACGGGAAGACGCCGGCAGACCCAUGGCGGUUGUGCACGCUGCAGCAGGUGGAGGAGGUCAAGUGCCUGGCGCGCAUCAUUCCGGUGUGGUCGUCGGGGAUCGUCUACUUCAUCGUGCUCACCCAGCUGGGCACCUACGUCGUGCUCCAGGCCGCGCAGAUGGACCGCCGGAUCAGCAAGUCCAGCAGCUUCCAGAUCCCGCAGGGCUCCUUCGUCGUCUUCCAGAUGCUCGCCCUCACGACGUGGAUCCCUGUCUACGACCGGUUCGUGGUGCCGGCGCUCCGCCGCUUCACGAAGCGCGAGGGCGGCAUCACCCUGCUCCAGCGGAUCGGCGUCGGGUUGGCGUUGUCCGUGGCGACGAUGGUGGUCUCAGCGGCCGUGGAGCAGCGACGACGGAAGGUCGGCUCGUCGAUGUCGUGCUUCUGGCUGGUGCCGCAGCAACUGCUGGCGGGCCUGUCGGAGGCGUUCGGCGCCAUCGGGCAGAUUGAAUUCUACUACCGGCAGUUCCCGGAGAACAUGCGGAGCGUGGCGGGGGCGCUCUACUUCCUGGGGUUCGCCAUGGCGAGCUACGCAAGCGGGCUGAUGGUGAUGGUGGUGCACCGGGCGACGCGCGGGCGGGACGGUCAGCCUGACUGGCUGGCGCAGGACCUGGACGAGGGUAGGGUGGACCUAUUCUACCUGGUCACCGCCGCCAUCGCCGCCGUGAACCUCGUCUACUUUGUGAUCUGUGCACGGUGGUACAGGUUCAAGAAGUCCGACGAUGCCGGCGCCGGAGAUGUGGAGCUCGACGACGACGGCCCGAAGAAGGCUGGCGCUGGUUUAGCUUAG
This 1839-nucleotide ribosomal RNA is filed under the name Triticum aestivum (bread wheat). Its description in RNAcentral is "partial small subunit ribosomal RNA". Lineage: Eukaryota; Viridiplantae; Streptophyta; Magnoliopsida; Poales; Poaceae. The record is from RNAcentral.